UAAGAUAGAGGUGCACUCUCGAUGAGUAUGCUCCGCCUGGGCAGACCAGCCUGUAAAAUGCGGAACGGAAAGGUGCGAGUGCCGAAGAACAGAACUGCGGUCGAUUCUGUUCUGGUUGCAGUGUUCCGAACAGGGCUGUAACUGUCAUCGUUAUGAUGGAGCGCUAUCGG
This 170-nucleotide non-coding RNA is filed under the name uncultured Ruminococcus sp. RNAcentral describes it as "Lysine riboswitch aptamer". It matches the Rfam family "Lysine riboswitch aptamer". From Rfam's summary of the family: Riboswitches are metabolite binding domains within certain messenger RNAs that serve as precision sensors for their corresponding targets. Allosteric rearrangement of mRNA structure is mediated by ligand binding, and this results in modulation of gene expression. This family includes riboswitches that sense lysine in a number of genes involved in lysine metabolism, including lysC. Lineage: Bacteria; Bacillati; Bacillota; Clostridia; Eubacteriales; Oscillospiraceae. The record is from RNAcentral.